UGGAUGGUGUAGGGAAUGGCAUACCAAAGAUAUACUAGGAAAGAAGACGGUGAAAAAAGUAAGAAUGCUAUAUGAUUUGUUGCAGAUACAGAUGGAGAUAUACCUAUGCAAGUUCCCAUGGGCGAGAUCUCGGAAGGCUCCUGAAAGAAAGAGGCGCUGGGACAGACUUAAAAGUUGAUGUCGCCAUGACAAAAGAGCCGACGGAAAUUGUCAGAGAAAUGGACUUGGAGCGAGUAAGGCGACUCUCUCAUUUGUUGCAGAUACAGAUGGAGAUAUAUAUGCAAGCUCCCAUGGGCGAGAUCUCGGAAGGCUCCUGAGAGAAAGAGGCGCUGGGACAGACUUAAAAGUUGAAUGCUACCCUUCAGGGAAAUUCAAUGAGGUCACAGAGAAUAUUCGACCUCGAAAGGAAACCGUGACUGUAAUCAUCGCCGGAGGCAACGAUGUCACCGUGACAAAAGAGCCAACGGAAAUUAUUGGAGAAAUGAACUUGGAGCGAGUGAGGCGACUAUCUGAGAGACAGAACGGCGGUCUGGUGGUGUGGUUAGAGCUGUUCCAUCGCCAUGACAAGGAUGCAAAAUUUAACGCACUCGUUCGGGCCGUUAAUAAACGAAUUCACAAAAAGUUAACGAGAUCGAAGGAAGAUGAAAAGAGAAUUGCGGUGAUCCAAACAUCUGGACUUAAGAGAGACGACUUUAACAAGGGUGGCCUUCACCUGAUCAAUCAGCGGAAGCAAUCUAUUUUUUCUACAAGUAUUAAUGUCUUUAUGUUCAGGAAUAAAAUUAGUGUUCACUUUU
This is a non-coding RNA of Bemisia tabaci, 794 nucleotides long. The record is from RefSeq and is a predicted model, not a curated record. NCBI's taxonomy places the organism in Eukaryota, Metazoa, Arthropoda, Insecta, Hemiptera, Aleyrodidae.